UCCCGCGUAAUUUAAGCAUAUUAAUAAGCGGAGGAAAAGAAACUAACUAGGAUUCCCUUAGUAGCUGCGAGCGAACAGGGACGAGCCCAGCACUGAAUCCUGCGCGUCGAGCGCGCGUCUGGAAAUGUAGUGUUUGGGAGGGGCCGAUCAUCUCGUGCGAGCGCACCAGUCCAAGUCCAUCUUGAAAGCGGCCACAGCCCAUAGAGGGUGCCAGGCCCGUAGGACGGUGGCGACGUACUCGCACGAAAGGUCCUCUCCCCAGAGUCGGGUUGCUUGAGAGUGCAGCUCUAAGCGGGUGGUAAACUCCAUCUAAGGCUAAAUACGACCACAAGACCGAUAGCGAACAAGUACCGUGAGGGAAAGUUGAAAAGAACUUUGAAGAGAGAGUUCAAGAGUACGUGAAACCGUUCGGGGGUAAACGGACGAAAUCUGGAAAAUCGAAGCGAGAGAUUCAAGCUCCAGCCGCCGCGCGUCGAGCGGCGCCCGCCGAUGGCGGACCGGCGCCCGCGUGUCGCAGCAAUGCGCACCGGUGUCGUUCGGUACGUUCACGGCGCGGCGCAACUCGCGCCGGCCUCGGGCCGCACUUUUCUCGUUGUAGUACGUCGCGACCCGUUGGGCGCGCGUCCAAGGCCCGCGCACGGAGCCGACCUCGGUCGCGUGCCGGCCCCGCUCGCGGGGUCGGUGCGUCGCACCGGAUCGACGGCGCGGUGACCCGACGCGCACGCCCGACGGUAGCAAAGUGAAACGGACGACACGAACCCGUAGUCGCCCGGCGCGUCGCGUAAAGCGGCGCGUCGGCGGCCGGUCGAGUUUAACUAUUCGGCACGUGUCGCGUCAGCGACGCUCUAUCCAGAGCAUCAUCCGACCCGUCUUGAAACACGGACCAAGGAGUCUAACAUGUGCGCGAGUCAUUGGGACCGUGCGAAACCUAGAGGCGUAAUGAAAGUGAAUGUCGGCCGCUUCGGCGGCCGGCAGAGGGGAGAUGGCGGCCGGCCGAGCGUCGCGCCGCCCGCAUCCCCGGGGCGUCUCGUUGUCAUUGCGACACAGCAGGCGCACCCAGAGCGUACACGUUGGGACCCGAAAGAUGGUGAACUAUGCCUGGUCAGGUCGAAGUCAGGGGAAACCCUGAUGGAGGACCGUAGCGAUUCUGACGUGCAAAUCGAUCGUCAGAGCUGGGUAUAGGGGCGAAAGACUAAUCGAACCAUCUAGUAGCUGGUUCCCUCCGAAGUUUCCCUCAGGAUAGCUGGCACUCGGAGACUAUAGUGGCGGGCGGGGCGGAAAUUUAUUUCCCACCGUCGCGCAUCAACCAGUCUCAUCUGGUAAAGCGAAUGAUUAGAGGCCUUGGGGCCGAAACGACCUCAACCUAUUCUCAAACUUUAAAUGGGUGAGACAUUCGACUUGCUUAAAUGCUCUUGUCGUUGAAGUCGAAACCUUAAAAACACAGGAUGAAAGGGCGCCAAGUGGGCCAAUUUUGGUAAGCAGAACUGGUGCUGUGGGAUGAACCAAACGUCGCGUUAAGGCGCCUAAAUCGAUGCUCAUGGGAUACCAUGAAAGGCGUUGGUUGCUUAAGACAGCAGGACGGUGGCCAUGGAAGUCGGAAUCCGCUAAGGAGUGUGUAACAACUCACCUGCCGAAGCAACUAGCCCUGAAAAUGGAUGGCGCUCAAGCAUCGUGCCUAUACGCGACCGUCACUGGCAAACGGGGCCGGCGCGUGCGUGGGGGUCUCGUACCUUUGCGGGCGCCGUCGACCCCACGAGGUCGUGACGAGUAGGAGGGUCGCGACGGUGUGCGCAGAAGUGUUGGUCGCGAGACUGCAUGGAGCCGCCGUCGGUGCAGAUCUUGGUGGUAGUAGCAAAUACACUAGCGAGGCCCUGGUGGACUGAUGUGGAGAAGGGUUUCGUGUGAACAGCCGUUGCACACGAGUCAGUCGAUCCUAAGCCCCAGGAGAAUUCCGAUGUUGAUGUGCAGUCGUUUUUACAAUAAUAAAAUCGAAUAAAUAUAUUUGAUAAAUUCUUUUGUUUGACCACAUCGGGCGAAAGGGAAUCCGGUUCCUAUUCCGGAACCCGGCUGCGGAACCGACAUGCGGGCCACUCUGCAGCAAUGCAGAACUCGUCGGGGUAACCCAAAAGGACCCGGAGACGCCGUCGGAUGAUCGAGGCAGAGUUUUCUGUUCUGUAUGAGCGUUCGAGUUCCCUGGAAUCGCCUAGCGCGGAGAUAGGGUUUGGAACGCGAAGAGCACCGCACUUGCGGCGGUGUCUCGAUCUAUCCCUCGGACCUUGAAAAUCCGGGAGAGGGCCACGUGGAGGUGUCGCGCCGGUUCGUACCCAUAUCCGCAGCAGUCUCCAAGUGAGGA
RNAcentral lists this ribosomal RNA (2353 nucleotides) under Kimminsoperla albomacula. Its description in RNAcentral is "eukaryotic LSU rRNA". It matches the Rfam family "Eukaryotic large subunit ribosomal RNA", at positions 24 to 1878 of the family's 3401-position model. The record is from RNAcentral. Lineage: Eukaryota; Metazoa; Arthropoda; Insecta; Plecoptera; Notonemouridae.